UGGGGAAUAUUGGGCAAUGGGGGAAACCCUGACCCAGCGACGCCGCGUGAGGGAAGAAGGUUUUCGGAUUGUAAACCUCUGUUCUUGGUGAAGAGUGGAAGACGGUAACCAAGGAGGAAGCCCCGGCUAACUACGUGCCAGCAGCCGCGGUAAUACGUAGGGGGCGAGCGUUGUCCGGAAUGAUUGGGCGUAAAGGGCGCGUAGGCGGCUGUUUAAGUCUGGAGUGAAAGUCCUAUUUUUAAGGUAGGAAUUGCUUUGGAAACUGAGCAGCUUGAGUGCAGGAGAGGUCAUCGGAAUUCCCGGUGUAGCGGUGAAAUGCGUAGAGAUCGGGAGGAACACCAGUGGCGAAGGCGGGUGACUGGACUGCAACUGACGCUGAGGCGCGAAAGUGUGGGGAGCAAACAGG
RNAcentral lists this ribosomal RNA (406 nucleotides) under uncultured bacterium. RNAcentral describes it as "bacterial SSU rRNA". It matches the Rfam family "Bacterial small subunit ribosomal RNA", at positions 355 to 776 of the family's 1533-position model. The record is from RNAcentral.